GGUGAACGCUGGCGGUAGGCCUAAUACAUGCAAGUCGAACGGACAGACGGUGAGCUUUCUCCUCUACGGGUGGCGGGUGACGGGUGAGUAACACGUGGAUAACCUACCUAUUAUUCUUGGAUGACUUCGGGAGACCGGAUAUGAUAACAGCGAAUAUGUUGUACGGCUGGAUUCAGUAGUUCUUGACGGUUUUGCUGUCACUUUUAGAUGGUUCCGUGUCGCAUUAGCUAGUUGGUAAGGUAACGGCUUACCAAGGCGACGAUGCGUAGCUGACCUGAGAGGGUGAUCGGCCACACUGGAACUGAGACACGGUCCAGACUCCUACGGGAGGCAGCAGUAGGGAAUAUUCCGCAAUGGGCGAAAGCCUGACGCAGCCACGCCGCGUGAGUGAAGAAGGUCUUCGGAUCGUAAGACUCUGUUAUUAGGAAAGAAAAAAUGUGUAAGUAACUAUCGCCGUUCUGACGGUACCCAAAGAAAAAGCACCGGCUAACUACGUG
RNAcentral lists this ribosomal RNA (497 nucleotides) under uncultured bacterium. Its description in RNAcentral is "partial 16S ribosomal RNA". It matches the Rfam family "Bacterial small subunit ribosomal RNA", at positions 28 to 507 of the family's 1533-position model. The record is from RNAcentral.